GGAGUCUGGGCCGUGUCUCAGUCCCAAUGUGGCCGUUCACCCUCUCAGGCCGGCUAUGCAUCAUCGCCUUGGUGGGCCGUUACCUCACCAACUAGCUAAUGCACCGUAAGCCCAUCUACUUGUGUUUCAAACCUUUAAUAAUAAGAAGAUGCCUUCUCAUUACCUAUCCGGUAUUAGCGCCCGUUUCCAGGUGUUAUCCCAGUCCGUGUAGGCAGGUUGCUUACGUAUUACUCACCCGUUCGCCACUCGCUAAAUCCAGCAAGCUGGAUCUCGCUCGUUCGACUUGCAUGUAUUAGGCACGCCGCCAGCGUUCAUC
Molecule: ribosomal RNA, 316 nt
Filed under: uncultured Bulleidia sp.
Lineage: Bacteria; Bacillati; Bacillota; Erysipelotrichia; Erysipelotrichales; Erysipelotrichaceae
Description: partial 16S ribosomal RNA
Source: RNAcentral